CUAUAUAUACCCUGUAGAACCGAAUGUGUGUGGAGCAGCCCUGGUCACAGAUUGGGUUCUAGGGGAGUCUAUGGG
This 75-nucleotide microRNA precursor is filed under the name Xiphophorus maculatus (southern platyfish). RNAcentral describes it as "mir-10 microRNA precursor family". It matches the Rfam family "mir-10 microRNA precursor family". Rfam says of the family: In this case the mature sequence comes from the 5' arm of the precursor. RNAcentral also lists the same sequence under 1 other name. The record is from Rfam by way of RNAcentral. Lineage: Eukaryota; Metazoa; Chordata; Actinopteri; Cyprinodontiformes; Poeciliidae.